CAUCCUCGAUUCCUCGUCUCAUUCUCGCCGCCCGCCUCCCUCUCCAUCGUAUGAGUACUGCUAGUUAAGCUACCCCAUGCCAUCGUGGUGCAGAGCUGGCCGGCCGGAUGCGGCCAGAUGGCUACUUCGAUAAGACCAUCUGGGCUGCCCUACGCCAGCUGUGAUGCUUGCUUGGAAGGUUUAUGCAUACCAAUAUCAUGGGCACCUAAACCACUGUGACAGGGAUCAUAUCCAUUGCGGCUCUGGAAUACCACAGCUGCCAAUGGAGAUGCUCACACGCACGUCUGUUGCUGCUUUGCUACUACUUGGGCUUCAAAUCCAGUUUACCACCAUCCAGCCAGAGAAUUAGAAGGUCAAAUGCCAUCUUAUUUGAUCAGCAUUUGUGUAACCUUAAUAGACGAUCUCUAAUUAUGCCUGAUUACUUUAUACUUAAAUUCACAGGAAUACAUGAAUAUGCAAUUUCAUAUGACAUUAAUUUCAUGAGUUUAUGAUAAGAAUGAAACUCAUGUAUCAUAAAUGGAUUGUCCCAAGAUCUAUCUUUGGUUGCUCUAAAUUGACGAACAAUCUAUGUAGGUGAAACUUCUAUUUGCAUUUUUUUAGAUAUGCAGGAAAGCAACCUAUGAAAUUUUAUAUUAUUUUGGUGCUAAUAUUUGUAGUUUUUUAUAAGGAAUAUUCUUGCGGGUAAGAUUUUAAGUACAGGGAUUGUAUAUCUACUCCACCAGCAAUUGAUGGCCCCUCCAUCGCCGACUUGUCCACGGUCUCCCAACCUCGCUUAACUGUGCUGGCUAAGGGUGAUUGUGUGAAACAGACACUCUUGAAAAAUCUUUCCAGAUGUGAUGGUAUGCAAAAUUGACGCUCUUGAAAAAUCCUUCCUAGGAACGUACCCUCCCCUUCAUGGUCUACAAGACAUGCCUCGAUCGGGUGUAGGGGCGGAGCUGGCCCUUCUUACCAGGGUCAGCUGACCCGAUGGAGUUCUAAAUUCCUUAACUAAAAUCACUGUUCAUCACUAAUUUAAGUAUGUUCGACCCCGUCAUUUAAAAUAGCUGACCCAGUGGCCUUUCAGUCUGGCUUCGCCCCUGA
Setaria italica (foxtail millet) is the source of this 1080-nucleotide long non-coding RNA. RefSeq lists it as uncharacterized. The record is from RefSeq and is a predicted model, not a curated record. Lineage: Eukaryota; Viridiplantae; Streptophyta; Magnoliopsida; Poales; Poaceae. The transcript is spliced from 4 exons.